This is a long non-coding RNA of Micropterus dolomieu (smallmouth bass), 1671 nucleotides long. RefSeq lists it as uncharacterized. The record is from RefSeq and is a predicted model, not a curated record. NCBI's taxonomy places the organism in Eukaryota, Metazoa, Chordata, Actinopteri, Centrarchiformes, Centrarchidae. The transcript has 2 exons.
GAUCUUCUCUGUUGGUUCUGUUGGUGUGUUCUGUUCUGUUUCGCUGGUUUUUCCGUUGUGUUCUGUUGAUCUGUGAUCUGCUCAGGAUUCUGUUCCGUUCAGUUCUUUUCUCUAUUCUGAUUUUAUGUUUCUGUUCUUUUUAGGUUUCUGUUGUGUUUCUGUCCUGUUCUACCCUGUUGUCUUUUGUUCUGAUCUGUUCUGAUUUGUUCUUUUUCCUGUGCAAUUGGUUAUUUUCUUCUCUGUUCUGUUCUGGCCCGUCCCAUUUUGCCUUGCUCUGUUCUGCUCUGUCUGCUCUUUUCUGUCUUGUUCUUCCUCCUUCUACUUUGCUCUUUGUUUGAUUCGCUAUGGCUAUAAUAAUUCCAAUUUGCUCUGUCUUAUCUUCCAUCCAGCUACAACCAAUUCUCUCUAAUUAAUCUGAGAUCCUUAAUAUUGAUUAAUUGAAUUGAUCAUAAUGUCAACCGAUCUAAAGACAAAUGCAACCAUCCUUCGAUCCAAGAUGCUCAGACUUUUUGCUGAUUUCUCUUCACCAUGUGUACUGCUCUAUUCUACUUUAUUGUAGCCUAUAAAGCAAUAAUAAUGUUCUAUUCUACUCGGGUGGUAAGCUCUGUUCCAGCCUGGGAGCUCCUCUGUCUGUCUCAGCAGAUCACCGUCUGUGGUUCAUCACACAGCGGCACCAGGGACCCAGGUGUUUAAGCAGAGCAAAGACCCUGAACACCCCACGACUCUUUUCCCUUUGGCGCUUGUGGGCUGUAAUGAUGAUGUCCUGGGCAGCACAAAUCUAUAACAACAUAACACAUUUUCUUGCGCGGGCACGUACACACACGCACACGCACACACACACACACACACACACACACACAAACACACACAGCCAGACAUAAAGAUGCACAAACACAUGCACUGGCAGCACAGACAGCACAAAGCGCACAGACGCCUCACACAACAGGGUAAAGAGGAAGGGUAAAAGGUGAAAAAAUCCGGGCAUUAAGAAGAAACUUUCCGCUGUCUCCUCUCGUGCCCUAGCCAGUUCAGCCUGAGUGUGUUAAACAUCUCUCACCUUGGUUCAAAGUGAUCGCCAAAGUUAUGAUCCACAGGGCUGGCAUGGUUCAGCCGAGCGCGUUCAGAUUCCUCCCCUCGGCUCUGCUUCCCUGAAAAGACACCAUCAAUUCCUCCCGACAGGGUGAAUUUAACUGGAAUCCUCUUUGAGUCAUGAGAGUGAAAGAAGCCAAAUUUAGGGAGGGGGGGGCGAAAUCGAUUCCUCUUUCCCUUUCUCCCCUUUCCUUUCUUCUACUCGUUUCCCUGUCUUUCCCGUGCGUAAAAUAAAUCUGUCUCCACUUUUUUCGCCUGCUCUCUUGGUUUAUCAGUCUCUUGCGUCUCUUUUCCUCUCUGCGCUCUAGAUUCCCAUUUAAACAGGACUGAAUCCCCCCCCCCCCCCCAUACAAUCAGUAGCACACACCCCCUCCCUCCUCCUCCACGCCUCCCCGCUCCAAAUCUCCGUUUUGGACUCCACAGAGAAGAGGAGGGCGCUCCAGCGGCCGCAACGAGAACUGUGCUUUAAACACGAAAACUUAAAUCAUCAAGUGCUUCAAACUCACAACUGAGUGCACCUUAAACGCAGAAUAUUCUGCAGCAGGUUAUGCUUGUAAUAUUUAAUAAAACUCCUACAAAUUG